This 251-nucleotide ribosomal RNA is filed under the name uncultured bacterium. RNAcentral describes it as "partial 16S ribosomal RNA". It matches the Rfam family "Bacterial small subunit ribosomal RNA", at positions 524 to 774 of the family's 1533-position model. The record is from RNAcentral.
UACGUAGGUGGCAAGCGUUGUCCGGAUUUACUGGGUGUAAAGGGCGAGUAGGCGGGAUUGCAAGUCAGAUGUGAAAUGCCGGGGCUUAACCCCGGAGCUGCAUUUGAAACUGUAGUUCUUGAGUAUCGGAGAGGCAGGCGGAAUUCCCGGUGUAGCGGUGGAAUGCGUAGAUAUCGGGAGGAACACCAGUGGCGAAGGCGGCCUGCUGGACGACAACUGACGCUGAGGAGCGAAAGCGUGGGGAGCAAACA